AAUCAACGCUGGCGGCGUGCCUAACACAUGCAAGUCGAACGAGAAAGUGGAGCAAUCCAUGAGUAAAGUGGCGCACGGGUGAGUAACACGUGACUAACCUACCCUUGAGUGGGGGAUAACCUAGGGAAACCUGGGCUAAUACCGCAUAAUACCUACGGGUCAAAGGAGCAAUUCGCUUUAGGAGGGGGUCGCGGCAGAUUAGUUAGUUGGCGGGGUAAUGGCCCACCAAGACGAUGAUCGUAUCCGGCCUGAGAGGGCGCACGGACACACUGGAACUGAACACGGUCCAGACUCCUACGGGAGGCAGCA
This 309-nucleotide ribosomal RNA is filed under the name uncultured bacterium. RNAcentral's name for it is "bacterial SSU rRNA". It matches the Rfam family "Bacterial small subunit ribosomal RNA", at positions 32 to 353 of the family's 1533-position model. The record is from RNAcentral.